Non-coding RNA from Chryseobacterium taeanense ARB2, 67 nucleotides. Lineage: Bacteria; Pseudomonadati; Bacteroidota; Flavobacteriia; Flavobacteriales; Weeksellaceae. The record is from Rfam.
GCAGAGCAGCGGCCCAUGCCCGCUGAUGCGUGUGCCGGAAUGCCCCGCAGGUGGGGCAAGCAUCGGC